CUGCAGCCAACUCAGCCAAGCAGCUUCUUCUCCUCAUGGGGCCUAUGUGCAACAUUGCAAGCAGCAGCCUCCUUGGGAGUGUGCAGCCUGUACCUUGUUUGGAUUGCCCCAGUGGGCCUUUGAGAUAGAU
Molecule: small nucleolar RNA, 130 nt
Organism: Onychomys torridus (southern grasshopper mouse)
Lineage: Eukaryota; Metazoa; Chordata; Mammalia; Rodentia; Cricetidae
Product: small nucleolar RNA SNORA70
Exons: 1
Source: RefSeq, a predicted model, not a curated record